Molecule: ribosomal RNA, 421 nt
Filed under: uncultured bacterium
Lineage: Bacteria
Description: partial 16S ribosomal RNA
Rfam family: Bacterial small subunit ribosomal RNA
Source: RNAcentral
GAAUUUUGGACAAUGGGCGAAAGCCUGAUCCAGCAAUGCCGCGUGCAGGAUGAAGCCCUUCGGGUUGUAAACUGCUUUUGUACGGAACGAAAAGCUUGGGGUUAAUACCCUGGCGUCACGACUGUACCGUACGAAUAAGCCGCGGCUACAUACAUGCCAGCAGCCGCGGUAAUCCGUAGGGUGCACGCGUUAAUCGGAAUUACUGGGCGUAAAGCGUGCGCAGGCGGUUUUGUAAGACAGAGGUGAAAUCCCCGGGCUCAUCCUGGGAACUGCCUUUGUGACUGCAAGGCUAGAGUACGGCAGAGGGGGGUGGAAUUCCGCGUGUAGCAGUGAAAUGCGUAGAUAUGCGGAGGAACACCGAUGGCGAAGGCAACCCCCUGGGCCUGUACUGACGCUCAUGCACGAAAGCGUGGGGAGCAAA